This 358-nucleotide transfer-messenger RNA is filed under the name Gammaproteobacteria (g-proteobacteria). RNAcentral's name for it is "J044 sp003696465 Standard tmRNA". It matches the Rfam family "transfer-messenger RNA". Rfam says of the family: Bacterial tmRNA, also known as 10Sa RNA or SsrA, is named for its dual tRNA and mRNA-like properties. Its role is to liberate the mRNA from a stalled ribosome. Lineage: Bacteria; Pseudomonadati; Pseudomonadota. RNAcentral also lists the same sequence under 1 other name. The record is from RNAcentral.
GGGGGCGACCUGGAUUCGACGUGGGUUACGAAACCUGCGGGUGCAUGCCGAGGUGGCAGCGUUGCCUCGUUAAUCCCACAGCUGCAUUGAAAUAGUUGCCAACGACGACAACUACGCACUGGCUGCUUAAGCCCAGCCAGCUACCGCUCAGUGCUCGCCUGCGGGCCUGAACCGGUAGUCACUCACGCAGGACCGCGUCCGGGGAUGUCCACCACCCGGGCGUCAAAUCAAAGUGGACUCGCCUUCUGCAUCCCUGUCUGCCGGGUGGCAGAAGGUCAAACUCAAUAGACAGACUAAGCAUGUAGUACCCGAGGCAGAGGACCCGCGGACGGGGGUUCGAUUCCCCCCGCCUCCACCA